GUGGGGAAUAUUGCACAAUGGGCGAAAGCCUGAUGCAGCAACGCCGCGUGAGGGACGACGGCCUUCGGGUUGUAAACCUCUUUUAGUAGGGAAGAAGCGAAAGUGACGGUACCUGCAGAAAAAGCACCGGCUAACUACGUGCCAGCAGCCGCGGUAAUACGUAGGGUGCAAGCGUUAUCCGGAAUUAUUGGGCGUAAAGAGCUCGUAGGCGGUCUGUCGCGUCUGCUGUGAAAACUGGAGGCUCAACCUCCAGCCUGCAGUGGGUACGGGCAGACUAGAGUGCGGUAGGGGAGAUUGGAAUUCCUGGUGUAGCGGUGGAAUGCGCAGAUAUCAGGAGGAACACCGAUGGCGAAGGCAGAUCUCUGGGCCAUAACUGACGCUGAGGAGCGAAAGCGUGGGGAGCGAACAGGAUUAGAGACCCGAGUAGUCC
RNAcentral lists this ribosomal RNA (430 nucleotides) under uncultured bacterium. RNAcentral's name for it is "partial 16S ribosomal RNA". It matches the Rfam family "Bacterial small subunit ribosomal RNA", at positions 354 to 796 of the family's 1533-position model. The record is from RNAcentral.